This 74-nucleotide transfer RNA is filed under the name Prevotella nigrescens. Its description in RNAcentral is "tRNA-Pro(cgg)". It matches the Rfam family "tRNA". From Rfam's summary of the family: Transfer RNA (tRNA) molecules are approximately 80 nucleotides in length. Their secondary structure includes four short double-helical elements and three loops (D, anti-codon, and T loops). The record is from RNAcentral. RNAcentral also lists the same sequence under 3 other names. Lineage: Bacteria; Pseudomonadati; Bacteroidota; Bacteroidia; Bacteroidales; Prevotellaceae.
CGGGAUGUAGCGCAGUUGGUAGCGCACUACGUUCGGGACGUAGGGGUCGCUGGUUCGAAUCCAGUCAUCCCGAC